CUCACUGCUGAAAGUCCUGCCUAACUUUGCCUAUGGCCGGGCCAGUCGGGCCAUCGCCCUCCUGCUCAGCUCCUGGGAGAUCUGGGUCUACACAGCCAGGACUGACCCAGUGUUCAGUGUGGCUAGGUUGGAAAUCAGGGAGAUGCAGCAGCUCAUUGCUUACAUCAUGCCAAAGGACAGGGCAUGUGUAAAGAGGUGAGGGAUUGACGAGGGGCUCCGGCUGAAGCAUGGUCAGGUUUUCAGUGGAAAGUGUAGUAAAUGCAUGCAUGUUGUUUAUAUGUUUAUACACAAAAAGGGAAAAGGCAUUUGCAUUGGCACCGGAGGUGCACCUUGUGACUACGGCAUCGAGUUUGGUGUUAUUGUCCAGUGGUCAAGGGGUCUGUGCACCUUCAUUAGACGUCUCCUGUGAGAAGAGACAAAUCUGGGAGUGUUGUAGCCUGGGAUUUCUCAUCUCUCCUGUCUGCUACUGGACUGAUGAGGGAAUGGUCUGUGCAGAUGCCAUCAACUUCAUACUGUGUGGCAUGAUUCAAAGUCCAGUGUGGAUGAGAUGAUACCAGCUCCCUCCCUAACCUACCAGUCCCUGCCCAGUCCCAUCUCCUCUCUGUCUGUGCUUCAGAACCCUGCUCCUUAAACAUGGACAGUCCACCACGGACCUCAUACAGACCCUGGCAGAAGGAGAGUGGGGAUAGGACUCCCAAAAAGACAACCUCUGCAUCUAGAAGGGAGUCCAACCACACCCCCAGCUCUGUACCUGACAGAAGACCCAGCACGGUGACUAAUAGAUUACCCAGCCCUGUGACUGACCCACCCCCAAGCCACACCCUUA
Oncorhynchus keta (chum salmon) is the source of this 826-nucleotide long non-coding RNA. RefSeq lists it as uncharacterized. NCBI's taxonomy places the organism in Eukaryota, Metazoa, Chordata, Actinopteri, Salmoniformes, Salmonidae. The record is from RefSeq and is a predicted model, not a curated record. The transcript has 4 exons.